This 522-nucleotide ribosomal RNA is filed under the name uncultured bacterium. Its description in RNAcentral is "bacterial SSU rRNA". It matches the Rfam family "Bacterial small subunit ribosomal RNA", at positions 29 to 526 of the family's 1533-position model. The record is from RNAcentral.
AACGAACGCUGGCGGCGUGCUUAACACAUGCAAGUCGAACGCGAACGUCUUCUUCGGAAGGCUAGUAGAGUGGCGCACGGGUGAGUAACGCGUAAGUAACCUACCCUCGCAUUCGGGAUAACCCACCGAAAGGUGUGCUAAUACCGGAUACGUCUGUAAUUAUACUUUUUUUAUAGAGAAAGGUGGCCUCUGAUUCAAGCUACUGUGCGGGGAGGGGCUUGCGUACCAUUAGCUAGUUGGUAGGGUAACGGCCUACCAAGGCGACGAUGGUUAGCGGGUCUGAGAGGAUGAUCCGCCACACUGGAACUGGAACACGGACCAGACUCCUACGGGAGGCAGCAGUGAGGAAUAUUGCGCAAUGGGGGCAACCCUGACGCAGCGACGCCGCGUGGAUGAUGAAGGCCUUCGGGUUGUAAAAUCCUGUCAGAUGGGAAGAAGUGCUCAAUACUUAAUAAGUGUUGUGUUUGACGGUACCAUCAAAGGAAGCACCGGCUAACUCCGUGCCAGCCGCCGCCGUAACAC